AUUGAACGCUGGCGGAAUGCUUUACACAUGCAAGUCGAACGGUAGAGGGGGCAACCCCCUUGAGAGUGGCGAACGGGUGAGUAAUAUAUCGGAACGUGCCCAGUCGUGGGGAUAACGUAGCGAAAGUUACGCUAAUACCGCAUACGAUCUAAGGAUGAAAGCGGGGGAUCGGCAAGACCUCGCGCGAUUGGAGCGGCCGAUAUCAGAUUAGGUAGUUGGUGGGGUAAAGGCUCACCAAGCCAACGAUCUGUAGCUGGUCUGAGAGGACGACCAGCCACACUGGAACUGAGACACGGUCCAGACUCCUACGGGAGGCAGCAGUGGGGAAUUUUGGACAAUGGACGCAAGUCUGAUCCAGCCAUUCCGCGUGCAGGAUGAAGGCCCUCGGGUUGUAAACU
Molecule: ribosomal RNA, 398 nt
Filed under: uncultured bacterium
Lineage: Bacteria
Description: bacterial SSU rRNA
Rfam family: Bacterial small subunit ribosomal RNA
Source: RNAcentral